GAGUUUGAUCAUGGCUCAGGAUGAACGCUGGCGGCGUGCUUAACACAUGCGAAGUCGAACGAUGGACUUUUGUGCUUGCACAAGAUGAUUAGUGGCGAACGGGUGAGUAACACGUGAGUAACCUGCCCUUGACUCUGGGAUAAGCCUGGGAAACUGGGUCUAAUACUGGAUAUGCACCGUGGACCGCAUGGUUCUUGGUGGAAAGAUUUAUUGGUCGGGGAUGGACUCGCGGCCUAUCAGCUUGUUGGUGAGGUAAUGGCUCACCAAGGCGACGACGGGUGGCCGGCCUGAGAGGGUGACCGGCCACACUGGGACUGAGACACGGCCCAGACUCCUACGGGAGGCAGCAGUGGGGAAUAUUGCACAAUGGGCGAAAGCCUGAUGCAGCGACGCCGCGUGAGGGAUGACGGCCUUCGGGUUGUAAACCUCUUUCAGUAGGGAAGAAGCGAAAGUGACGGUACCUGCAGAAGAAGCGCCGGCUAACUACGUGCCAGCAGCCGCGGUAAUACGUAGGGCGCAAGCGUUAUCCGGAAUUAUUGGGCGUAAAGAGCUCGUAGGCGGUUUGUCGCGUCUAUCGUGAAAGUCCGAGGCUCAANCUCGGAUCUGCGGUGGGUACGGGCAGACUAGAGUGAUGUAGGG
This 639-nucleotide ribosomal RNA is filed under the name uncultured bacterium. RNAcentral's name for it is "bacterial SSU rRNA". It matches the Rfam family "Bacterial small subunit ribosomal RNA", at positions 9 to 656 of the family's 1533-position model. The record is from RNAcentral.